Molecule: ribosomal RNA, 1369 nt
Filed under: uncultured bacterium
Lineage: Bacteria
Description: bacterial SSU rRNA
Rfam family: Bacterial small subunit ribosomal RNA
Source: RNAcentral
GACGAACGCUGGCGGCGUGCCUAAUACAUGCAAGUAGAACGCUGAAGAGAGGAGCUUGCUCUUCUUGGAUGAGUUGCGAACGGGUGAGUAACGCGUAGGUAACCUGCCUUGUAGCGGGGGAUAACUAUUGGAAACGAUAGCUAAUACCGCAUAACAAUGGAUGACACAUGUCAUUUAUUUGAAAGGGGCAAUUGCUCCACUACAAGAUGGACCUGCGUUGUAUUAGCUAGUAGGUGAGGUAAUGGCUCACCUAGGCGACGAUACAUAGCCGACCUGAGAGGGUGAUCGGCCACACUGGGACUGAGACACGGCCCAGACUCCUACGGGAGGCAGCAGUAGGGAAUCUUCGGCAAUGGGGGCAACCCUGACCGAGCAACGCCGCGUGAGUGAAGAAGGUUUUCGGAUCGUAAAGCUCUGUUGUAAGUCAAGAACGGGUGUGAGAGUGGAAAGUUCACACUGUGACGGUAGCUUACCAGAAAGGGACGGCUAACUACGUGCCAGCAGCCGCGGUAAUACGUAGGUCCCGAGCGUUGUCCGGAUUUAUUGGGCGUAAAGCGAGCGCAGGCGGUUUGAUAAGUCUGAAGUUAAAGGCUGUGGCUCAACCAUAGUUCGCUUUGGAAACUGUCAAACUUGAGUGCAGAAGGGGAGAGUGGAAUUCCAUGUGUAGCGGUGAAAUGCGUAGAUAUAUGGAGGAACACCGGUGGCGAAAGCGGCUCUCUGGUCUGUAACUGACGCUGAGGCUCGAAAGCGUGGGGAGCGAACAGGAUUAGAUACCCUGGUAGUCCACGCCGUAAACGAUGAGUGCUAGGUGUUGGAUCCUUUCCGGGAUUCAGUGCCGCAGCUAACGCAUUAAGCACUCCGCCUGGGGAGUACGACCGCAAGGUUGAAACUCAAAGGAAUUGACGGGGGCCCGCACAAGCGGUGGAGCAUGUGGUUUAAUUCGAAGCAACGCGAAGAACCUUACCAGGUCUUGACAUCCCGAUGCUAUUUCUAGAGAUAGAAAGUUACUUCGGUACAUCGGUGACAGGUGGUGCAUGGUUGUCGUCAGCUCGUGUCGUGAGAUGUUGGGUUAAGUCCAGCAACGAGCGCAACCCCUAUUGUUAGUUGCCAUCAUUCAGUUGGGCACUCUAGCGAGACUGCCGGUAAUAAACCGGAGGAAGGUGGGGAUGACGUCAAAUCAUCAUGCCCCUUAUGACCUGGGCUACACACGUGCUACAAUGGUUGGUACAACGAGUUGCGAGUCGGUGACGGCGAGCUAAUCUCUUAAAGCCAAUCUCAGUUCGGAUUGUAGGCUGCAACUCGCCUACAUGAAGUCGGAAUCGCUAGUAAUCGCGGAUCAGCACGCCGCGGUGAAUACGUUCCCGGGCCU